RNAcentral lists this ribosomal RNA (253 nucleotides) under uncultured bacterium. Its description in RNAcentral is "partial 16S ribosomal RNA". It matches the Rfam family "Bacterial small subunit ribosomal RNA", at positions 524 to 776 of the family's 1533-position model. The record is from RNAcentral.
GACGAACCGUGCGAACGUUGUUCGGAAUCACUGGGCUUAAAGGGCGCGUAGGCGGGCUAUCAAGUCCGGGGUGAAAUCCUCCAGCUUAACUGGAGAACGGCCUCGGAUACUGAUGGCCUCGAGGGGGAUAGGGGCACACGGAACUGUGGGUGGAGCGGUGAAAUGCGUUGAUAUCCAUAGGAACUCCGGUGGCGAAAGCGGUGUGCUGGAUCCCUUCUGACGCUGAGGCGCGAAAGCCAGGGGAGCAAACGGG